RNAcentral lists this ribosomal RNA (497 nucleotides) under uncultured bacterium. Its description in RNAcentral is "partial 16S ribosomal RNA". It matches the Rfam family "Bacterial small subunit ribosomal RNA", at positions 28 to 507 of the family's 1533-position model. The record is from RNAcentral.
GAUGAACGCUGGCGGCGUGCCUAAUACAUGCAAGUCGAGCGAACAGAUAAGGAGCUUGCUCCUUUGACGUUAGCGGCGGACGGGUGAGUAACACGUGGGUAACCUACCUAUAAGACUGGAAUAACUCCGGGAAACCGGGGCUAAUGCCGGAUAACAUUUAGAACCGCAUGGUUCUAAAGUGAAAGAUGGGUUUGCUAUCACUUAUAGAUGGACCCGCGCCGUAUUAGCUAGUUGGUAAGGUAACGGCUUACCAAGGCAACGAUACGUAGCCGACCUGAGAGGGUGAUCGGCCACACUGGAACUGAGACACGGUCCAGACUCCUACGGGAGGCAGCAGUAGGGAAUCUUCCGCAAUGGGCGAAAGCCUGACGGAGCAACGCCGCGUGAGUGAUGAAGGUCUUCGGAUCGUAAAACUCUGUUAUUAGGGAAGAACAAAUGUGUAAGUAACUGUGCACGUCUUGACGGUACCUAAUCAGAAAGCCACGGCUAACUACGUG